GAUGAACGCUAGCUACAGGCUUAACACAUGCAAGUCGAGGGGAAACGAUGAGAGAGCUUGCUCUCUUAGUCGUCGACCGGCGCACGGGUGAGUAACGCGUAUCCAACCUGCCUCUGACCAAGGGAUAACCCGUCGAAAGUCGGACUAAUACCUUAUGCAGUCGUCGGAAGUCAUCUGAUGACGACGAAAGAUUUCAUCGGUGAGAGAUGGGGAUGCGUCUGACUAGCUUGUUGGCGGGGUAACGGCCCACCAAGGCGACGAUCAGUAGGGGUUCUGAGAGGAAGGUCCCCCACAUUGGAACUGAGACACAGUCCAAACUCCUACGGGAGGCAGCAGUGAGGAAUAGUGGUCAAUGGGCGUAAGCCUGAACCAGCCAAGUAGCGUGCAGGAUGACGGCCCUAUGGGUUGUAAACUGCUUUUAUGCGGGGAUAAAGUGAGGGACGUGUCCUUCAUUGCAGGUACCGCAUGAAUAAGGACCGGCUAAUUCCGUG
This 491-nucleotide ribosomal RNA is filed under the name uncultured bacterium. RNAcentral describes it as "partial 16S ribosomal RNA". It matches the Rfam family "Bacterial small subunit ribosomal RNA", at positions 28 to 507 of the family's 1533-position model. The record is from RNAcentral.